RNAcentral lists this ribosomal RNA (408 nucleotides) under uncultured bacterium. RNAcentral describes it as "bacterial SSU rRNA". It matches the Rfam family "Bacterial small subunit ribosomal RNA", at positions 354 to 775 of the family's 1533-position model. The record is from RNAcentral.
AUUAGGAAUCUUGCACAAUGGGCGAAAGCCUGAUGCAGCGACGCCGCGUGAGGGAGGAAGUCCUUCGGGAUGUAAACCUCUUUUAUCAGGGAAGAAAAAAAUGACGGUACCUGAUGAAUAAGCUCCGGCUAACUACGUGCCAGCAGCCGCGGUAAUACGUAGGGAGCGAGCGUUGUCCGAAGUUACUGGGCGUAAAGCGCGCGUAGGCGGGUUUGAAAGUCGGAGGUGAAAUGCUGGGGCUCAACUCCAUGCAGUGCCUCCGAUACUUCAAGUCUUGAGUGCGGUAGGGAGAAGUGGAAUGGCUGGUGUAGCGGUGAAAUGCGUAGAUAUCAGUCGGAACACCGGUGGCGAAGGCGGCUUCUUGGGCCGUUACUGACGCUGAGGCGCGAAAGCCAGGGGAGCGAACGG